UACGUAGGGUCCGAGCGUUGUCCGGAAUUACUGGGCGUAAAGCGUGCGCAGGCGGUUUGUAAGCCAGAUGUGAAAUCCCCGGGCUCAACCUGGGAAUGGCAUUUGGGACUGCAAAGCUGGAGUGCGGCAGAGGGGACUGGAAUUCCUGGUGUAGCAGUGAAAUGCGUAGAGAUCAGGAGGAAUACCGAUGGCGAAGGCGGUCCCUGGGUUGACACUGACGCUCAUGCACGAAAGCGUGGGGAGCAAACAGG
Molecule: ribosomal RNA, 251 nt
Filed under: uncultured bacterium
Lineage: Bacteria
Description: partial 16S ribosomal RNA
Rfam family: Bacterial small subunit ribosomal RNA
Source: RNAcentral